RNAcentral lists this transfer RNA (109 nucleotides) under Paracoccus sp. 08. RNAcentral describes it as "tRNA-OTHER". It matches the Rfam family "tRNA". From Rfam's summary of the family: Transfer RNA (tRNA) molecules are approximately 80 nucleotides in length. Their secondary structure includes four short double-helical elements and three loops (D, anti-codon, and T loops). Further hydrogen bonds mediate the characteristic L-shaped molecular structure. tRNAs have two regions of fundamental functional importance: the anti-codon, which is responsible for specific mRNA codon recognition, and the 3' end, to which the tRNAs corresponding amino acid is attached (by aminoacyl-tRNA synthetases). tRNAs cope with the degeneracy of the genetic code in two manners: having more than one tRNA (with a specific anti-codon) for a particular amino acid; and 'wobble' base-pairing, i.e. permitting non-standard base-pairing at the 3rd anti-codon position. Lineage: Bacteria; Pseudomonadati; Pseudomonadota; Alphaproteobacteria; Rhodobacterales; Paracoccaceae. The record is from RNAcentral.
GGAAGUGUGGGUGAGCGGUCUAAACCAUCGGCCUGAAUACCGCCCGUAGCUAGAGUAAACCGACGUAGGGUCUUCCCUACCGUGAGUUCGAAUCUCAUCGCUUCCGCCA